UCCGAUUUUCGACUUUUUCGUCUUUCCAGUUAGAUGUCCCAACUUUUUACGAUCAUCGAUUGCAAACUCUUCCAAUUGUGCCCAUUUCAGACAGUUCUUCCUAUUUAAUCGAUGAGAAGUUAACUGGAAGGGCAUGUGAGAAACAUUGCCUCCUUGAGUCAUAUGAUUUGGAGCUUCCAAAGAAGACAUUUUGUCUUCUUUUGAUAUUCCAUAUUCUCCCUGAGAAGCUAUUUUGGCCAUAUGGUAUUAGGGCAAAAAUUCUAAGUCUGAUACCAUGAAUGUUUAGAUACUGCAAAAAUAUGUUUUUAUUCAUAGAGUUGCACAAUAUUUAUAGGUGAACAAGAAGAUCAAAAGAAUCUAAUCAAUCCCUAAUUCCUAGGAGUUAUGUUGUGCGGACUCAUUGAUUUCGCUGAUGAAUCCAUCCCAACGCGGCGCUGGUACGGGCUCAGGGUACGUCUCUGAUUUGGUAAAACAAAUCCGAAGACGUUGAUCCAACAUCAAGAAUAAAGUUGGUUGUCAUCGUCGUCGUAAGAAAAACCGGUGACUGUAAUUAUUGUCGUCGCCAGAAGGGAGAAAAUAGGUGGUCACCAUCGGAAUCCGGCAAGAAUCCGGCGACAAUCAUCAUCAGAAUCAGCGACUGCUGUCAUCGUCGAAAUUUGGCGACUGUAAUUUUGUCGAAGGAAUUUGAAUCGUUGGGAAGAAACAGAAAGUGGUUGAGGAUUGUGAUGAUGACUCGUCA
This 739-nucleotide long non-coding RNA is filed under the name Capsicum annuum. RNAcentral's name for it is "long non-coding RNA (CANN_LNC004049)". Lineage: Eukaryota; Viridiplantae; Streptophyta; Magnoliopsida; Solanales; Solanaceae. The record is from RNAcentral.